GGGAUACACUUAGAGUCCCCUGCAUGAGAGUGUUAAUAGUGUACGCUUUUGGCCGAGCGGCACGGUUAGUGAAUC
RNAcentral lists this non-coding RNA (75 nucleotides) under uncultured Prevotella sp. Its description in RNAcentral is "L13-Bacteroidia ribosomal protein leader". It matches the Rfam family "L13-Bacteroidia ribosomal protein leader". The record is from RNAcentral. Lineage: Bacteria; Pseudomonadati; Bacteroidota; Bacteroidia; Bacteroidales; Prevotellaceae.